CUUUUCAUCUUAUGUAAUUACUGUGGAGCAGUGGGUUUCUGGAAUUUCAACAUAGGAUGAAAGACCUUGUCAAAAUAUUCAAUCGUAAUACAUUUGGUUGAACUUUUACACAUAAUUAAAAUGUCAAAGUGAUCUUCCAGAAGAGUAAAACAGACGGGUUAUCUUUAGACUAGAUUGCCAGGAAUCACGUGUUGCCAUAUCUCCAUGGUGGUGGGUGGCUAGAAGUGCACGUAGAUGUUGAACGUCGCAUCUGUGAGGACGGCCCGAGCGUGUGGGUGGGUGUCCGUGCGCAUACACAGAUAAACACAGAGCUAUUCCCAGGGAGAACGUACCGGAUUGCUUGGCUGGACUUGCUUCAUAGAAUCUGUAUGAGUCACAGGUGGAUUUCAUAAUCCCCUGUUCUAGAGACACGCAGUACCCAUUUUUAGAGUAAAAGAAAAAUGAAACUCACACAGGUUCCUUCCUGUCUUGCUGGAAGCUGCUUCUGAGACCAUUUUUGCUUUUUUGCCCCUGUUUCCCAGUCUCCAAAUUAUAGGGUCCUACGGGGCUCUUUCCCUAUACUGCUCCCUGCCACGUGUGUAUUUCUUCCUCAGGUGACCCUGUCUAUUUCCACUACCGAAAUACUGCAGAGUGGAGGACUCUGAGACGCCCAGCUUCCGUCGCAAGCUCCAGACUCAGGCAUCCUGACAUUACCAUCUAGAUCCCUAAAUGGAAGAUUCCAUUUCAAACAUCCAGAUCGGGGGCACCUGGGUGGCUCAGUCAGUUAAUGCUCGUUUCGAACCUGUGCUGUAUCAGGGAAUGAAAAACUCUUCCUCUACCCUUCUAGAUCUUCCGGCCGGACAAAGAAUCACAUCCACACGAGGUAGGUUC
Molecule: long non-coding RNA, 870 nt
Filed under: Mustela putorius furo (domestic ferret)
Lineage: Eukaryota; Metazoa; Chordata; Mammalia; Carnivora; Mustelidae
Description: lncRNA (ENSMPUG00000032030.1)
Source: RNAcentral